RNAcentral lists this unclassified non-coding RNA (732 nucleotides) under Hevea brasiliensis (rubber tree). Lineage: Eukaryota; Viridiplantae; Streptophyta; Magnoliopsida; Malpighiales; Euphorbiaceae. The record is from RNAcentral.
GCAGAUCAAGGGAGAAAGAGAUGCACUGGAAAGAAGCAAAGAUGAAGAGUCUAAGCGUUUCCGGAGCAACAACAUCGAUUUUGACUCCAACAUUUUGGUGCGAACUAAGGAAUUAAUGGUAGAUGUUUCUUCAAACUGCAUGGAGGUUGCACUUAAGGUAAUUUUUAUCUUCAUAGAUUACCUGAUUAGCAAAGGAUAUAAAAGAGGAAAGAAGAAGAAAGAGAAACUUAUAGCUUAUCCCACUAACAAAUACUGCAGAACGAACUCAGAACAGUUCUGAACCUUUUGGCCUUUUGAUCUAGGAAUGGAGGGAGGCAAAGGAAGCAGAGAGUGCAGAAAGCGGGAAAAUAGGUGAUGGCCAAUUAAAGACAAGUGAAAAUAUGCUUUGGAGGGCUUUUCAGCUAGCAUAUCGGGUCUAUAGCUUUGCUGGUGGACAAGAUGAACGAGCUGAUAUUUUGAGCAAAGAACUAGCUCGUGAAAUAGAGAUGAUCGCCAGAGUUAGUAUAACUAACUCUAAGCAAUAGCAAAAAUCAGUGCCCUACGCUACGCAAAAUUAUGACAUCCUCAAUUUCGGUGAUAUAAAUUGAAAGCUCAGAACAGAUGCCAAUGUAAUAAAUUUAAAUGGCAGCAUUAAUAAUAAAAGAGACUUUGGAUUUUUAUAGGAAUGUUUUAUGGAUAAUUGGAGCAAGAAAAGCACAAUUUUACUUCCAAAUUUCCAGUUUUGCUCUGAAG